AACAACAGUGGUGAGUCCUUACAGACCUUUAAUGAUUCUUGCGGAUAUGAUCGCUUGGUCUUAUGAGCAUCUAAGGGACCGAGUUAUG
Phragmites australis (common reed) is the source of this 88-nucleotide small nucleolar RNA. RefSeq annotates it as small nucleolar RNA SNORD25. NCBI's taxonomy places the organism in Eukaryota, Viridiplantae, Streptophyta, Magnoliopsida, Poales, Poaceae. The record is from RefSeq and is a predicted model, not a curated record. The transcript has a single exon.